UCAAUAAUGAAGAAUAAUUUCUAUAAUUUUUUCGAAGUUAAUUUAAUUAAAAUUAUUAAUGUUGUUACUGGAUAACCAGAUUGGGCUGAUUGUCCGUAAAACUCAGACCAUUUUCUCAAAAUAAUCCACUUUUAACGGUGUUGAGGACUGAAAUCACGUACAAGGAGGAUUUUCUUGAACAGCUGCCCUUUGGAAUUGCAUUAUUCAUUCCCCACACCUUCCCUUCUUUCUGUUUAACCCAAAAUAAUUAUUUGACCCCAUCAAAGUUGUAUUUUCUUUGUUAUUUUUUAGCAGUUAAAUGUGUUCGAGCUGAAUUAUCUCUUCAGACGUUCUACAAAUUGAAGUCAGACAAAUCAAACCAGAUUCGUUCUACUUAAGAAAGACAGGAUGAUUAUUAUUCAAUAACGUGGCAUUGUCUGGUCUUGUAGUAUGAUGACCUAUUUUCAAUUGGGCCGAAGGUGUACAGUAUUUAUGGGCCUAAACCGAUGUCUGAGGGCUCAAUAUUCAGCAGGAAAUAUUCUGUUACCCCUAUGCAGUGGUACAAUGCACCUCAAAUGCAUUAAUCAACGGAAAAGCUGCGAUUUUCUUACCACGAAGAUUUUAUUGUUCUUGAUUACUUCACUUCAAGACUAUCUCUGCCGUUUCCUCCUGCAGCCCUCAUUUUUCCAACCGCCACAUCAGUGGUAUUCGACCCCACAUUUCUUCUGAAGUGAAAUAAACAUAGUGGAGUAAAUAGCACAGAAGAAAGAAAUAAGUCGAGCCACAGACUUUAAUGCAUUAGAAACUAAUUUCCCGUCAUGACUAGGACAAUUGCACUCUAAUCGAUCGUUUUAUACAAUUAAUGAGGUCUUGUAGCUCGCGAAAACCAAUAGUAUUGCAGCUGACGGGGGUAAAAGUAUUGACUACCCUAGUGAGAUUUAAGAAGGUUUGAUCUGUGUAUCUAGGCUGGUGGAAUGAACCCAGAGAGAAGAUGAUAUUAACGUUAUGCUAAGGAUGAGAAAACAAAUUAAUGUAGAUGAAAGCGAGUAAUUGAAAAAACCUUAAUUAAAUUUAAAUGGGUCCAAUGAAUCCAUUCUAUUCGCAGGUAAAAAUUGCAAAGUGACCAGGGAAAUCAAGUUGAUGGACUACCACCCACUAAUGAAAAUAUCACGUGAUAUUCGGUGCUCGUGUUCUUGAGAAUUUGAACAGCUAAUUGAAUUAAGAGAUGUGAAGUAUCCAAACCUAUGCAUAACAUCAUCGAAACUGUUUAUAACUUAGAUUGUCAACGCUGUACAACAAUAAUGAAGGAAGUGACACCGAAAUCACAGAGAUUUAUAUGUAAACACGACACAAAGGAAAAUGAGUAAUGUCGACGAAGGAAAAAAGCCUCCGGCCACCAGUGACACUGCUUGACAGUGAAUGAGAAGCAUAAAAAAAAUAUGACGAGGUGCAUAAUGUUUUUUUUUACCAGAGAAAUGCUGAGAAUAUUUGGAAAGUUGAUAGCCACUGACUGCAAAUUAGCGCAAUCUCCAUUAUUUAAAUUCACUGAAUGUGAAAAAGGAUCAGGAUAAGUCGCACUCCAAGAUAUUGGCUGCCAAAGCCAGUUCUCUCCCUUCUAACUCUGUAUAACUAUUUUUUUCUUCUAUCUUUAUUUUACUUCCUCGGUCCAUAAUACUACUAUAUACGGCAAUUUCUUUUCUGCGUUGAAAAGACGGUGGAAUCGAGUACUUGUGGAGCGGGUGAGGAUGAAGGGGAGAGAAGAUCCAGCUAAUAAAAUUUAACCAUUGACGGUGAAGGGAGGAGGGACGAUGCCACUCAGGGCUCGCUUUUUUUCUCGUCUUUUCCCCUCGUCAGUCGCAUUUUCUGGAAAAAAAUUCCUCGAGCCUCGUGAGAGAUAUCUUAUGAUAAUACUGUCAGGGAUUAUCCCAUCCACGUGUAGCAUUUGAAAUUCUGAAAAGUUAAUGCCCUUCAAUUUCACUUCCCACAGGUCCUUUCAUGCCUAUACGAAAGUCAAGUGAUUUGCAGAAAUAUAGUAUUCUCGUUCGUCAGUGGGAACAAAUGUCUAAUAAUUCAUUAUGGGAACGAACCUGACUUCAUUCAAUCAGUCUUUGCAUUCAUUCAAACUGCUAUCAUAUUCAUGGAUGUCAGCUGUUGAGUCGUUAUGCGGAGAAACAAUGGAUAUAAAAAUUUUUUUUUCUAAAGAAACGAUUGUACCAUUGAGAUUAUUAUUACUGAGAUGACUGCAUUUCAGAGUAAAAUUUUGUCUCUCCAAUAUUGCGAUGAUUCAUUAUUCCCUCAAAGGAACCCCAAUUCAACAGAACAUGAUAAACGAUCUUUUACCUGAUUUUUCCAGAAAGGUGUCGCUUUUCAGCACUCACGAUCCAGACCUAUUCCCUUCAGAAAACUGCAGGUAACAAGAAUGGUUCCACAAAAAAAUCGCAAUUCCUCGUAAAUUCAAACGUAUUCUUCGCAAACUUAUUCCAAAGGCGAUUAAACUUUUGACCUUUCGCUCCUCCAUUAUUGAAUUCAACUCCUCACCGGCAAUGGGCUCUAAAGCUAGAUCAUCUAUCGAUUACAGCCGACAACUUCCGGCAGUAAUUUCUAUCCAGAGAACCACCGAUUUAUAAAUAAAUAGAAUAAAAAGGUUAAUCGCUCCACAGAUGAGAAAUUGUUGAUAAAAAUUAUCCUUCCACAUGGGGACGACAUUUUCCCCAUCAACGGAGGAAAAAAAUAGGAUUAAUUUUCCGCUGAUUAGUGGAAAAUCCUCACUCCUACGAAAACCGAGCCUGAGACAAAUUGUUUAUCACAGCCAACUGAUAGUUAAAGCCAAGUCUAUUUGACAGGCUUCACCCAAUAGUUUUUGAAUCUCGAAUAAAAUAUAUAUCAAUCCGAAAACCACUUGAAAAGAAAUCUGGUCUCUAUCAUCAAAUCAAAGCGAUGAAUUUUCAUCCCUUUCACAAUUUUAUUUCCCUUUUUCUCCCAAUCAACAUUCCCCCUUCCCCCCAACUAAGAACAUCGAGCAGUACCAUCAAGGAAUGGCAGCGUCACUCCGCUUGAUUUUAUUUAAACGUCUUAUUUACUCGAAAUACACGAGUACUGGAUAUUCGCCUAGUUCCAUCUCUACCUGUUACCAGUACACCCCCGACAGUUGAACGACGACCUUCUCUUUCAAUUCCUAUCGUUCCCUCACUUAGAAAAGUAGAUAGAGCCAGCAACUCUGACAAGCCAACUGAUUAGAGACUGUUUGUCCUGUCAAGGCUCCGAGUUUGUACGGUGAAAACGCCAUCCACAGCAAUCGAAAUUGAAGACGUAGAGGGCUCAGAAGAGGGGAAUUCGUGGGCUUGAGCAAAGGUGAAGAAGACAGGAAACAGGGAUAAACCUCCGUAUCUGAGCAGACACAAGUGAACAUCAUUUUUACAUACAAGUAGUCAAAGUAAAUAAACGAGGAGACAUCGUACAGAAUAAAAAAAAGGGGAGUUUAAACUAGACUGGAAUGUUUCUGGCCACAAUCUGCGGAAUCGCCGUAAAGUUUCAGACCGUUUUACAUACUCCAGUCACCCAAACAGCCACCGGAAUGUCUUGUGACGAACACGAGGGCUGAGAAAAUAGAAGGGGAACAAAUAAAUUUCCCAGUGAAAGGAGGAAAAAAAAAAUUCAACAUUGGUGGAGGGGUGAGGAGGGGAGGCGAAGUUCUCACCCGUUCCAACUGGUCGAGUGGAAUCUGGCGGUUAGCCAGGAAAUAGUGAAAUUGAUAAAAUUUGCCAAGUGGAAUUGUGACUCACACUAGCAGCCCAUCGUCGCUCGAUGGGAGUUCCGCUGGGUCAACAAACCAGGACUGGCCAAUUGGCAAAUUGUCACGACCGUUGCAACUUGGCGUUAUUGUAUCACAGUACUUGUUAUUAUUAUUUCAGGUUUUUUUUUGUAGUUUCUACGGGCUUAGUGAACUCGGUGGACUACUAAUGCUUAUUCCCCGGUGAGUUGGGAGUAUUAAUUUUUCAUUUCACUUUAUUUCUCCCCUCAUUCUCUUGAGUCAACAUCUUUCGAGUGUGCUUCGUCAGCACAUCCGCAAAUGCUCGGUCUUUUACUCUUUAUAUAGCGAAAAAUAUCUUGAGAGAAACACGAGUGAGUCACAGUGGAGUGGAGAAUCAAUUAUGCAGAAUUGUGGAGUGAAUCGAUGGUCUCAAUUAUUUUUUAUUACUAUUAUUAUUUAUUGUUAUUGAUAGAUGGACGUUUAUAUAUAGGUUUGGAAAAUGAAAAAGAUUAGGAGAGAUAUAUGUUUUGUAAAUCGGCUAAUCUUGUGUGUGAAGCUACAGAAAACAACACAUCAUUCUAUUUAUUCAUAUCCCCAUUUCAGAUUUACCAAAAAAAUUAUUUUUCCUUUGCGCUGGUUCUCAGUAUAUGUAUACUGUUCUCUGGAAAGUCGCCUCUGGCAUUUUGUAUCGCAACCACCACGACAGAAACCAACAUUUCAGUACUGAAUUUCGUGCAGAGUUCUACGAGUUGCUGUAAUAGUGGAAGAAAAUGCCAGUGAAAAAUAUGAUAUGUGGAUAAAGUAUAAAGGGAAAAAAACAUUUUAAUGAAGUGCGAGAAUGGAAGUCGGAUAGUCAGACUCAUUACCACUGUGAGGAAUUGUGGGUUUUAGAGGAGGCAAUAUACCGUCUAAUGGUGAUAAUUUCUUAUAUCUAUAUAUAAUUCAGAAAUGGGUUCUUGAAAUGCAGCUAAUAAAUACUACGAUAAUUGGGAAUGAAGAGAAUGAGAGAGAAAAUAUGAUUUCUCAUCAGAAUUACCAAACGAAAUAUCAAAAUGUUCGUUUGAUUCUCUGUUCAUGAAGUGCAUGAGGAGACAGCAUUACUUCCAUCUGGUGAAUAAUCUAUGACGACGACGAUCACAGGCUCCUAGUGAACAUUAAGUCGGUUCUCCCAACUAACGAAGCGCCAUGAUUAAAUAAUGCAUUGACCGGAGAAUCCUUUAACGAUGAAGAUAUAAAUGGAACACUGAAGCCACGAAGGAGACAGUGGAGAAAGUCAGUAUCGUCACACUGACUUGUCCAUUUUCGUCCACCACUUGGAAUUUCGUAUUGCAAGCUUCAAAAGCUUCAAAAGCCAUCAACCCUCCAUCUUGCAUUUUUCCAACUUCACCAGCAACGUUUGACCAAUUCAAUCGUUGGUUAUCGGCGACAAAUCAAAGUUACGAGAGGUCGCCACAUACGACCAUCGCGAUAUUCCUGGGAAAAGUGGAAGAGCGUCUGGAGGGAAUCGAUAUAUUUUUAAAAUCACAUUGGACAAUGGAUAAAAACGGAGCAGAAAGAGAAAUUCUGUAUGGGGGAAUGACAUAGAAAUCGUCCGGAUGAGAACCUGAAAGAACAAACUACGUCCGAAGAAAUCAGAAGGAUAAGCCUUGAGGCAAAAAGGAUAGUGGAUGGGGGAAAAAAGUCGGGCAGAGGAUGAGCCGUUUUUUCUACGUCCUAUCCACCCUCGGCUGUCGACCCACCCCGAUAACCAUGCAUGCCAACCUUCCAGCUAUUCCCGCCAACCUUCCAAUUACUCCGAGCUACCAAUUCAGUUCACUCAGAAAAUUAACGAUUAAUAUGAGACAUUUAACUCUGCUAUUAUCAUAACUUCAGAAUAAUUUACCGAUGUAGUCAUUAUUUUACGAUUGAGUAUACGAUUUAAUUUCAUAGUUGUUUUUUUUUUCAAUUUAAUUCCAGAUCUUUAUUCAGUCAAUUCUGUAAAUAAUUUGACCAAUUAACUACCGACAAGAUCGAAGAUUAUCACCCGAAUGCAAUAUUUUACUCUUAUCUCCAGUAAUUCAAGAACAACACAUCCAACAUAUUGAUUAACCUCAACACUUCGGAACACUUCGUAUACAUUUUCAAGGACCUCAAUUAAAUAACAUACUCUGCCACAAAACAAUCAUCACACAUACAAAUGAAAUGUUUGAAUGACUAUCGUCACCGAGUCCCUCUUCUCCUUCUCUCAUCGUUUUACCGAUAUUGCAUUACUGCGUUCAAUUCUUCGUUACCAUUGACAAUGAACACAAUGGGAUUUUCUGUCAUACCAAUGGCUGCUCUCAUGAGUGAGUACCCAGCAGAUCGUUAAUACAAUUUGAUCAUAAAAUGUCCUCGUUUAAUGUCCACAAUCGCUGUGAGCAUAACUCGUUGGGAUUCCAUAAUAUGCUGAAUAUAUCCAGUCAGUGAAUUGUAUAGAUUUACUAGCGGUUUGACUCACUCACUAUCCUCUCCCGUAUGAGACUAUUCUCUGUUCUACGUCUAUUGAUAGCGAAUAGCGAUCCAAGAAUACAAUUUACAAUUAUAAUCGCGUGAUUCAGGAAAGUUGAAAUAUUUCAAUUUGCCGUUUGGAAUUGAACUGCCGCGCUUGUUUUCAUGUUUUG
Molecule: long non-coding RNA, 6369 nt
Organism: Diachasmimorpha longicaudata
Lineage: Eukaryota; Metazoa; Arthropoda; Insecta; Hymenoptera; Braconidae
Exons: 6
Source: RefSeq, a predicted model, not a curated record